Molecule: transfer RNA, 74 nt
Filed under: Saccoglossus kowalevskii
Lineage: Eukaryota; Metazoa; Hemichordata; Enteropneusta; Harrimaniidae
Description: tRNA-Val
Rfam family: tRNA
About the family: Transfer RNA (tRNA) molecules are approximately 80 nucleotides in length. Their secondary structure includes four short double-helical elements and three loops (D, anti-codon, and T loops).
Source: RNAcentral
GUUUUCGUAGUGUAGUGGUUAUCACGUUUGCCUCACACGCGAAAAGGCCCCCGGUUCGAACCCGGGCGAAAACA